UUUUUUUUUUUUUCGUUGGCCCCCCCCCCACCCCUCCCCCCCCGUCUUCCCCCCCCCCCCUUGGGGCCCACCUCCAUAUCUACGGCGAUGGCACUGUCCAAGGUCAUUCCUUUUCCUUUUUUUCGAAACUCUUUUCUUCUCUAGUAGUCUCAUCUCUUGGAAUCACACCUACCCAGUAGUUAAGUGUCAGGGUUAUGUAGACUUGGAACGUUUGACAGGAACCUGAGACGCUAAGCAGUCCACAGUACUAAUAGCGGAACGAAGAUCGUCGGAAAACCAGAGCAUAAUUUCAGUUUUGACAACUUUACAUAGCAUUUCAUCAAUUUUGAGCCAAGGAACCCGGCAACCCUUUCACAUUGCAGAGUAGUCGAACCUGACAAUCCUUUUCCAGUUUCACUAGACCAUUACAAGUCAACUAGGUGCAUCCAUCAUUACCUGUGAUUUUCCAAGUAGCUUGGUUGGUGACUAAUUAUGAUGAGGGUGAUGCAGCAAGUCCCUUUCAAUAAAGCCAACAGUCUUAUAAUAGCAACAUCUCCGUCAGAAAAAAUAACAGUUAGUAACUGGAACUGGAACUGGAACAAACAACAGGAGCUAGCGUAUAGAAUAAGAAUAGUCAGAGACUUUGUCGUUACCUACUUCUUUUUUGGCAACAUUUCUUAUCUGAACUCGUUUGUUAAGGUUACCAGAUUGAGUACAAAGUAGUUAAAUGCACCAGCUACAGUAGACAACGACUAGUUUUUAAUUUUAAGAGUUGUUUUUUUGGGACAGCGUAUUUUAUUGCUGGGACUGAUAUUGGCAAGUUCACAAUGAGAGCAGUUGAAGAUGCUCGCACUCUCAACAAAACCCUCCAUUUCCAACCAAAAUCAAAUCUUCUAAACAUCAACCAGCUUGCCGACAUUUGGGAAGCUCAACUCGGACGCGACCUUCCGCGAGUCACCAUCACCGAGGAUGACUUACUUUCCGCUGCCAGAGGUUCGUAUGUACAGCAACCAAGAUUACACACUUUCGUAGUUUUUCGAUGUGAUUUAAUAACCUCUUAACGUUCAUCAAAUUUGCAGAAAUGCGAAUCCCGCAGAGCAUUGUGGCGGCCCUAACCCACGAUAUUUUCAUAAACGGUUGCCAGGUCAACUACAACCUCAACCAGUCAACCGACGUUGAAGUCUGCUCCCUCUAUCCAGAUUUGUCUUUCCGAACCGUCGAUGACUGCUUUAAAGAGUUCUUAACGAGGGUCGAUGACGACGACGAUGAAGCAACGAAACAUACCAAGCCUCCUCCCUCCAGCAGCAGUAGCAAAGGCAGUAUCAUGUUGGCAAGUUCCAAGACAGAAGUUGUUUCCAUAACAGCAUAAGCCCCCCAUGAAGCCUCUAAAACCCUGCAGAGCAUUGUAAUAAGAAAAACAAACCUUUGUCUGGAUAUGUGUGAAAGCCUUUGUUGUUUGAUUUGUCUGGAAUUUCCUCUUUAUACCCAGUCGUAUUCAUGUCUGAGUCUGGAAAAUGAACCCAAAUCUGUCUCUGUAUCAAAGUUUCUUGUAUUGGAUUAUUAUUCCAUGUUUGUACUAUUGCAGCAAUAGAAAACUAAAUGCCACUAUUUUUUAUUUAAAGAAAGGUCAAUGCCACUAUUGAAUUUCAUAAAAUAUACCACAUACAGUUGAUCUAAAAUCUAUCUGACCAACCGAUCAGGUUCUCCAUUAUCAUAGAGUUAAUCCGAGUACGUUACAUAUAUUCUGGAUCAGACAUGCAGUAGCUGUGCACGAUACCAUCAUCUCAAAACUCUGACAAAUCAUACCAGUUGCUUACACAGAUCGACCGACUAUUCAGAAUUUACAACUAUCACUAGGCCGGAAUUCAUUUACAUAAAACAAAAAGGAAACACACACCUUGUUUGUUUGUUUGUUUGUCUUCAUAGAUAGAUAUGUUAACGAGUGAACACCAAAUCCAGAAAUGUUACUCCACCUUUCCCAGUUAGAGCAUAUCUUUCUGAUUACCUUCGGUAUACACAAUGAUGCUUAAAAGAGAGACUAU
RNAcentral lists this long non-coding RNA (2021 nucleotides) under Linum usitatissimum (flax). RNAcentral describes it as "long non-coding RNA (LUSI_LNC004296)". Lineage: Eukaryota; Viridiplantae; Streptophyta; Magnoliopsida; Malpighiales; Linaceae. The record is from RNAcentral.